GGGGAAUAUUGCACAAUGGGGGAAACCCUGAUGCAGCGACGCCGCGUGGAGGAAGAAGGUCUUCGGAUUGUAAACUCCUGUUGUUGAGGAAGAUAAUGACGGUACUCAACAAGGAAGUGACGGCUAACUACGUGCCAGCAGCCGCGGUAAAACGUAGGUCACAAGCGUUGUCCGGAAUUACUGGGUGUAAAGGGAGCGCAGGCGGGCGAUCAAGUUGGAAGUGAAAUCCAUGGGCUCAACCCAUGAACUGCUUUCAAAACUGAUUGUCUUGAGUAGUGCAGAGGUAGGCGGAAUUCCCGGUGUAGCGGUGGAAUGCGUAGAUAUCGGGAGGAACACCAGUGGCGAAGGCGGCCUACUGGGCACCAACUGACGCUGAGGCUCGAAAGUGUGGGUAGCAAACAGGAUUAGAUACCCUGGUAGUCCACACCGUAAACGAUGAUUACUAGGUGUUGGAGGAUUGACCCCUUCAGUGCCGCAGUUAACACAAUAAGUAAUCCACCUGGGGAGUACGACCGCAAGGUUGAAACUCAAAGGAAUUGACGGGGGCCCGCACAAGCAGUGGAGUAUGUGGUUUAAUUCGACGCAACGCGAAGAACCUUACCAAGUCUUGACAUCCUGCGACGAUGCUAGAAAUAGUGUUUUCCUUCGGGACGCAGAGACAGGUGGUGCAUGGUUGUCGUCAGCUCGUGUCGUGAGAUGUUGGGUUAAGUCCCGCAACGAGCGCAACCCUUAUGGUCAGUUACUACGCAAGAGGACUCUGGCCAGACUGCCGUUGACAAAACGGAGGAAGGUGGGGAUGACGUCAAAUCAUCAUGCCCUUUAUGACUUGGGCUACACACGUACUACAAUGGCGUUAAACAAAGAGAAGCAAGACCGCGAGGUGGAGCAAAACUCAGAAACAACGUCCCAGUUCGGACUGCAGGCUGCAACUCGCCUGCACGAAGUCGGAAUUGCUAGUAAUCGCAGAUCAGCAUGCUGCGGUGAAUACGUUCCCG
RNAcentral lists this ribosomal RNA (995 nucleotides) under uncultured bacterium. RNAcentral's name for it is "bacterial SSU rRNA". It matches the Rfam family "Bacterial small subunit ribosomal RNA", at positions 356 to 1376 of the family's 1533-position model. The record is from RNAcentral.